CACGUAGGGCGCAAGCGUUGUCCGGAAUUAUUGGGCGUAAAGGGCGCGUAGGCGGCUUGGCAAGUGGAAGGUGAAAUCCCUCGGCUUAACCGAGGAACUGCCCUCCAAACUGCUUAGCUUGAGACCGGGAGAGGUGAGUGGAAUUCCCAGUGUAGCGGUGAAAUGCGUAGAUAUUGGGAGGAACACCAGUGGCGAAGGCGGCUCACUGGACCGGUACUGACGCUGAUGCGCGAAAGCGUGGGGAGCAAACGGG
This 253-nucleotide ribosomal RNA is filed under the name uncultured bacterium. Its description in RNAcentral is "partial 16S ribosomal RNA". It matches the Rfam family "Bacterial small subunit ribosomal RNA", at positions 524 to 776 of the family's 1533-position model. The record is from RNAcentral.